UGGAUCAUCACACACCGGAACAUCCAACGCCAUGGGUGAUGACCCUAAACACGAUACAGAGUCUUUCCAUACGUCGGAACAUCCAACGCCGCAUAUCGAAAGUGUCUCACACGCCGGAACAUCCAACGCCGUGAGUGAGACGGAUGACCUAUUUUUCCCACACGCUGGAACAUCCAACGCCGCGUGUGGAAAGUCUAAUAACUGGGGAAGGCACUUACAUAGUGUAAUCAUACAACUU
This 238-nucleotide long non-coding RNA is filed under the name Prunus persica (peach). Its description in RNAcentral is "long non-coding RNA (PPER_LNC005317)". Lineage: Eukaryota; Viridiplantae; Streptophyta; Magnoliopsida; Rosales; Rosaceae. The record is from RNAcentral.